GGCUAGUAGGAAGGUGGUGAGUUAUCUCAAUGGUUCACAGUCAGGUAUAGGUGGAACUCCUGGCUCUACUCUUCCCCCCUUCUCACUACAGCACUUCACUAGUUCCCA
This is an unclassified non-coding RNA of Otolemur garnettii (small-eared galago), 108 nucleotides long. It matches the Rfam family "Y RNA". From Rfam's summary of the family: Y RNAs are components of the Ro ribonucleoprotein particle (Ro RNP), in association with Ro60 and La proteins. The Y RNAs and Ro60 and La proteins are well conserved, but the function of the Ro RNP is not known. Lineage: Eukaryota; Metazoa; Chordata; Mammalia; Primates; Galagidae. The record is from Ensembl.